GGCGGCGUGCCUAAUACAUGCAAGUCGAACGCUUUUUCUUUCACCGGAACUUGCUCCACCGAAAGAAAAAGAGUGGCGAACGGGUGAGUAACACGUGGGUAACCUGCCCAUCAGAAGGGGAUAACACUUGGAAACAGGUGCUAAUACCGUAUAACACUAUUUUCCGCAUGGAAGAAAGUUGAAAGGCGCUUUUGCGUCACUGAUGGAUGGACCCGCGGUGCAUUAGCUAGUUGGUGAGGUAACGGCUCACCAAGGCAACGAUGCAUAGCCGACCUGAGAGGGUGAUCGGCCACACUGGGACUGAGACACGGCCCAGACUCCUACGGGAGGCAGCAGUAGGGAAUCUUCGGCAAUGGACGAAAGUCUGACCGAGCAAACGCCGCGUGAGUGAAGAAGGUUUUUCGGA
This 406-nucleotide ribosomal RNA is filed under the name Enterococcus casseliflavus. RNAcentral's name for it is "bacterial SSU rRNA". It matches the Rfam family "Bacterial small subunit ribosomal RNA", at positions 38 to 422 of the family's 1533-position model. Lineage: Bacteria; Bacillati; Bacillota; Bacilli; Lactobacillales; Enterococcaceae. The record is from RNAcentral.